UUCUCCAGCAACAGGCCUCUGAUUCAUCAGAAAGGAAAGGCAGAAGGCAGGUGAUAUUUUGCCAUAGUUCUUUCUCAUUCAAGAUCCAGUGGAACUAUUCCUGAUCAAUGUCAUUAUAAUUCUAGCAACAGAGUGAAUGAGGUGUUUCCCCCAUUUCCUCCUUUCCUCUCCUGCUUCUCAAGUCAUUCUGAAGCAUACGGGCAGAAUCAAAUCAAGACAGAAUGCGGCCACUGAUGAGAACUCUUGCUGACAGUCGAUGAUUAACUCUCCAUUUUUUGAGGCUCACUUUCAUCUUUAUUCUUACAAGGAAAAGAGAGAGCGAGAAUAAUGAGACCAGCAUGAGGAAUUGUUCCAGCUGCCCUUGGUAGAACGCACUGGCAAAGGAUGGCACAUAUCAACUUGGAUUUCUCAGUAUACCCAUAUGAAAGGAAAUGGAUUACACCCGUCGUUUCUCUCUGCACCCCCAUCUCCCACCUUGUAUUUUCUAACAAAAGAGCAAAUCGCCUCCAACUCUUAGUUCAACGGAAUUCAUGA
Non-coding RNA from Pogona vitticeps (central bearded dragon), 534 nucleotides. The record is from RefSeq and is a predicted model, not a curated record. Lineage: Eukaryota; Metazoa; Chordata; Lepidosauria; Squamata; Agamidae.